RNAcentral lists this ribosomal RNA (468 nucleotides) under uncultured bacterium. Its description in RNAcentral is "partial 16S ribosomal RNA". It matches the Rfam family "Bacterial small subunit ribosomal RNA", at positions 28 to 507 of the family's 1533-position model. The record is from RNAcentral.
GACGAACGCUGGCGGCGUGCUUAACACAUGCAAGUCGAACGGAAAGGCCCUGCUUUUGUGGGGUGCUCGAGUGGCGAACGGGUGAGUAACACGUGAGUAACCUGCCCUUGACUUUGGGAUAACUUCAGGAAACUGGGGCUAAUACCGGAUAGGAGCUCCUGCUGCAUGGUGGGGGUUGGAAAGUUUCGGCGGUUGGGGAUGGACUCGCGGCUUAUCAGCUUGUUGGUGGGGUAGUGGCUUACCAAGGCUUUGACGGGUAGCCGGCCUGAGAGGGUGACCGGCCACAUUGGGACUGAGAUACGGCCCAGACUCCUACGGGAGGCAGCAGUGGGGAAUAUUGCACAAUGGGCGGAAGCCUGAUGCAGCAACGCCGCGUGCGGGAUGACGGCCUUCGGGUUGUAAACCGCUUUCGCCUGUGACGAAGCGUGAGUGGCGGUAAUGGGUAAAGAAGCACCGGCUAACCACGUG